Molecule: ribosomal RNA, 400 nt
Filed under: Globisporangium ultimum
Lineage: Eukaryota; Oomycota; Peronosporomycetes; Pythiales; Pythiaceae
Description: partial 28S ribosomal RNA
Source: RNAcentral
AAUCAAACUUGCCUUUCUUUUUCUGUGUAGUCAGGGAUGGAAUGUGCAGAUGUGAAGUGUCUCGCAUGGUUGCGUUCGUUUUUUCGAUCGAGAAUCUGUCGAGUCCUUUUAAAUGGACACGGUCUUUUCUAUGGUUUCUAUGAAGUGUAAUGGUUGGAAGGCAGUGAUUUUCGGAUUGCUGGCGGCUUUUGGCGACUUCGGUAUGAACGUAUGGAGACUAGCUCAAUUCGUGGUAUGUUAGGCUUCGGCUCGACAAUGUUGCGUAAUUGUGUGUGGUCUUUGUUUGUGCCUUGAGGUGUACUAGAGGUUGUCGGUUUGAACCGUAAGUGAUUGUUUAGUAGAGCAUUUUCACGAUGUAUGGAGACGCUGCAUUUAGUUGCGUAGAGAGAUUGAUUUGGGU